Molecule: unclassified non-coding RNA, 390 nt
Filed under: soil metagenome
Description: partial contains 5.8S ribosomal RNA, internal transcribed spacer 2, and large subunit ribosomal RNA
Rfam family: 5.8S ribosomal RNA (bases 5-121)
Source: RNAcentral
GAUGAGAACGUAGCGAAAUGCGAUACUUGGUGUGAAUUGCAGAAUCCCGUGAACCAUCGAGUCUUUGAACGCAAGUUGCGCCCGAAGCCGUUAGGCCGAGGGCACGCCUGCCUGGGCGUCACACGUCGUUGCCCCCCCAUCUACUCCUUCGGGAUUGCGGGGGGCGGAUGAUGGCCUCUCGUGCGCCUCGUCGCGCGGUUGGCCUAAAUGCCAAGUCCUCGGCGACGCACGCCACGACAAUCGGUGGUUGCGAAACCUCGGUUGCCUGUCGUGUGCGGUCGUCGCGCAUCGAGGGCUCGAAAAAAUUGCCGGGCUUCGGCUCGACUUUCAACGCGACCCCAGGUCAGGCGGGGUUACCCGCUGAAUUUAAGCAUAUCAAUAAGCGGAGGA